This 211-nucleotide ribosomal RNA is filed under the name uncultured bacterium. Its description in RNAcentral is "partial 16S ribosomal RNA". It matches the Rfam family "Bacterial small subunit ribosomal RNA", at positions 1151 to 1365 of the family's 1533-position model. The record is from RNAcentral.
GCCGGUGACAAACCGGAGGAAGGUGGGGACGACGUCAAGUCAUCAUGGCCACUUAUGGGUAGGGCUUCACACGUCAUACAAUGGCGCGUACAGAGGGUUGCAAACCCGCGAGGCGGAGCCAAUCCCAGAAAGCGCGUCGUAGUCCGGAUUGCAACUCGACUGCAUGAAGUCAGGAAUCGCUAGUAAUCGCAGAUCAGAUGCACGCAGGUAA